GGGUUGUGAGGUUAAGCGACUAAGCGUACACGGUGGAUGCCCUGGCAGUCAGAGGCGAUGAAGGACGUGCUAAUCUGCGAAAAGCGCCGGCGAGGUGAUAUGAACCUUUGACCCGGCGAUGUCCGAAUGGGGAAACCCAGUGUGAUUCGUCACACUAUCGUUAACUGAAUACAUAGGUUAACGAGGCGAACCGGGGGAACUGAAACAUCUAAGUACCCCGAGGAAAAGAAAUCAACCGAGAUUCCCCCAGUAGCGGCGAGCGAACGGGGAGCAGCCCAGAGUCUGAAUCAGCUUGUGUGUUAGUGGAAGCGUCUGGAAAGUCGCACGGUACAGGGUGACAGUCCCGUACACGAAAAUGCACAGGUUGUGAACUCGAAGAGUAGGGCGGGACACGUGGUAUCCUGUCUGAAUAUGGGGGGACCAUCCUCCAAGGCUAAAUACUCCUGACUGACCGAUAGUGAACCAGUACCGUGAGGGAAAGGCGAAAAGAACCCCGGCGAGGGGAGUGAAAAAGAACCUGAAACCGUGUACGUACAAGCAGUGGGAGCACCUUCGUGGUGUGACUGCGUACCUUUUGUAUAAUGGGUCAGCGACUUAUAUUCUGUAGCAAGGUUAACCGUAUAGGGGAGCCGAAGGGAAACCGAGUCUUAACUGGGCGUUAAGUUGCAGGGUAUAGACCCGAAACCCGGUGAUCUAGCCAUGGGCAGGUUGAAGGUUGGGUAACACUAACUGGAGGACCGAACCGACUAAUGUUGAAAAAUUAGCGGAUGACUUGUGGCUGGGGGUGAAAGGCCAAUCAAACCGGGAGAUAGCUGGUUCUCCCCGAAAGCUAUUUAGGUAGCGCCUCGUGAACUCAUCUUCGGGGGUAGAGCACUGUUUCGGCUAGGGGGCCAUCCCGGCUUACCAACCCGAUGCAAACUACGAAUACCGAAGAAUGUUAUCACGGGAGACACACGGCGGGUGCUAACGUCCGUCGUGAAGAGGGAAACAACCCAGACCGCCAGCUAAGGUCCCAAAGUCAUGGUUAAGUGGGAAACGAUGUGGGAAGGCACAGACAGCCAGGAUGUUGGCUUAGAAGCAGCCAUCAUUUAAAGAAAGCGUAAUAGCUCACUGGUCGAGUCGGCCUGCGCGGAAGAUGUAACGGGGCUAAACCAUGCACCGAAGCUGCGGCAGCGACACUAUGUGUUGUUGGGUAGGGGAGCGUUCUGUAAGCCGUUGAAGGUGUGCUGUGAGGCAUGCUGGAGGUAUCAGAAGUGCGAAUGCUGACAUAAGUAACGAUAAAGCGGGUGAAAAGCCCGCUCGCCGGAAGACCAAGGGUUCCUGUCCAACGUUAAUCGGGGCAGGGUGAGUCGACCCCUAAGGCGAGGCCGAAAGGCGUAGUCGAUGGGAAACAGGUUAAUAUUCCUGUACUUGGUGUUACUGCGAAGGGGGGACGGAGAAGGCUAUGUUAGCCGGGCGACGGUUGUCCCGGUUUAAGCAUGUAGGCGGAACGAUUAGGUAAAUCCGGUCGUUUAUUAACGCUGAGGUGUGAUGACGAGGCACUACGGUGCUGAAGUAACAAAUGCCCUGCUUCCAGGAAAAGCCUCUAAGCAUCAGGUAACAUUAAAUCGUACCCCAAACCGACACAGGUGGUCAGGUAGAGAAUACCAAGGCGCUUGAGAGAACUCGGGUGAAGGAACUAGGCAAAAUGGUGCCGUAACUUCGGGAGAAGGCACGCUGAUAUGUAGGUGAAGCCCCUGCGGGUGGAGCUGAAAUCAGUCGAAGAUACCAGCUGGCUGCAACUGUUUAUUAAAAACACAGCACUGUGCAAACACGAAAGUGGACGUAUACGGUGUGACGCCUGCCCGGUGCCGGAAGGUUAAUUGAUGGGGUUAGCGGCAACGCGAAGCUCUUGAUCGAAGCCCCGGUAAACGGCGGCCGUAACUAUAACGGUCCUAAGGUAGCGAAAUUCCUUGUCGGGUAAGUUCCGACCUGCACGAAUGGCGUAAUGAUGGCCAGGCUGUCUCCACCCGAGACUCAGUGAAAUUGAACUCGCUGUGAAGAUGCAGUGUACCCGCGGCAAGACGGAAAGACCCCGUGAACCUUUACUAUAGCUUGACACUGAACACUGGUCCUUGAUGUGUAGGAUAGGUGGGAGGCUUUGAAGUGUGGACGCCAGUCUGCAUGGAGCCGUCCUUGAAAUACCACCCUUUAAUGGCUGGUGUUCUAACGUAGACCCGUGAUCCGGGUUGCGGACAGUGUCUGGUGGGUAGUUUGACUGGGGCGGUCUCCUCCCAAAGAGUAACGGAGGAGCACGAAGGUUAGCUAAUCCUGGUCGGACAUCAGGAGGUUAGUGCAAUGGCAUAAGCUAGCUUGACUGCGAGAGUGACGGCUCGAGCAGGUGCGAAAGCAGGUCAUAGUGAUCCGGUGGUUCUGAAUGGAAGGGCCAUCGCUCAACGGAUAAAAGGUACUCCGGGGAUAACAGGCUGAUACCGCCCAAGAGUUCAUAUCGACGGCGGUGUUUGGCACCUCGAUGUCGGCUCAUCACAUCCUGGGGCUGAAGUAGGUCCCAAGGGUAUGGCUGUUCGCCAUUUAAAGUGGUACGCGAGCUGGGUUUAGAACGUCGUGAGACAGUUCGGUCCCUAUCUGCCGUGGGCGCUGGAGAAUUGAGGGGGGCUGCUCCUAGUACGAGAGGACCGGAGUGGACGCAUCACUGGUGUUCGGGUUGUCAUGCCAAUGGCACUGCCCGGUAGCUAAAUGCGGAAAAGAUAAGUGCUGAAAGCAUCUAAGCACGAAACUUGCCCCGAGAUGAGUUCUCCCUGAGACUUUAAGUCUCCUGAAGGAACGUUGAAGACGACGACGUUGAUAGGUCGGGUGUGUAAGCGCAGCGAUGCGUUGAGCUAACCGAUACUAAUGAACCGUGAGGCUUAACCUUACAACGCCGAAG
Molecule: ribosomal RNA, 2926 nt
Filed under: Enterobacter roggenkampii
Lineage: Bacteria; Pseudomonadati; Pseudomonadota; Gammaproteobacteria; Enterobacterales; Enterobacteriaceae
Description: 23S ribosomal RNA
Rfam family: Bacterial large subunit ribosomal RNA
Source: RNAcentral